RNAcentral lists this transfer RNA (74 nucleotides) under Myxococcus stipitatus. RNAcentral describes it as "tRNA-Arg". It matches the Rfam family "tRNA". From Rfam's summary of the family: Transfer RNA (tRNA) molecules are approximately 80 nucleotides in length. Their secondary structure includes four short double-helical elements and three loops (D, anti-codon, and T loops). RNAcentral also lists the same sequence under 13 other names. Lineage: Bacteria; Pseudomonadati; Myxococcota; Myxococcia; Myxococcales; Myxococcaceae. The record is from RNAcentral.
GCGGGAUUAGCUCAGCUGGAUAGAGCGUUGGCCUCCGGAGCCAAAGGCCACAGGUUCGAAUCCUGUAUCCCGCG